CCGCCGGCGUACAAGCCAGCCCCCAAGGUCUCACCGCCGGCGUACAAGCCCGCCCCCAAGGUCUCACCUCCGGCGUACAAGCCUGUCCCCAAGCCAUCACCGCCGCCGUCGCCAACUCCGCCGGCGCCGAAGCCGACUCCACCGCCCUACAAGCCCCCGACGCCUACUCCUCCGGCGUACAAGCCUCCCACCCCGAGCCCCCCGCCUCCGCCGUACCACCACUAAGAAGAUCCACCACUGUCAAGCUGGGAGCCUAGGAUGCGGUCGAGAAGAGUUGUGCGAGCAGGCCAAGAAGAGCCACGUACGUACGGCGUCGUUGAUCCUCCUGCGGUGUGUGAGUUGCUGCCGAGCUACUAGGGCCGAUCUCUGAGGAGAUGGAAUAAUGCAGAUGGCUCCCAUUAGUUAUCUUACCAGCUUAUCAUUUGUGUUCGUCCAGUGUUAGCGUCUGUGUUGCUAGUGUCGCAAUGUUGCCAGUGUCACUGUAAAACCAUUAAUCACCACGGAAAUGGAAGUAAAAGGUGUUGUUUCCCGUUGCAUGUAA
Triticum dicoccoides is the source of this 541-nucleotide long non-coding RNA. RefSeq lists it as uncharacterized. The transcript is spliced from 2 exons. The record is from RefSeq and is a predicted model, not a curated record. Lineage: Eukaryota; Viridiplantae; Streptophyta; Magnoliopsida; Poales; Poaceae.